CUGACCCCCGGGGAAGGCUGACCAACUGCAAAGGUGGGAGAUUGCUGACAACCCUGUGACAUCCAUAUUGUCACACGCUGGGGGAUGAGUGAGGAACAAGAGUCAGGGUCGCAGGGCAGAGUUGAUACUCAGAAAUCUGGGAUGGGGGACACAGGCUUUGAAACAUCCCCCUUCAAACAGGAUCCUUCAGAAUAGUUGUUGUUAAUUAAACCACACAGGGUAGCUCCUCAAAGGGCUGAGAGAUGCCCUCACAGUUGACUUGCCUUCUCCACCUUCCCUCAACACAGUCAGGGCAUCGGCUUCUUAGCUUCCCUGAGGACAGGCGUGCUACUGGUCUACUUUGCAGCCUUCUUUCCACCAGGUUUGAACACUGACAUCAACUCCAGUGGGCCCUGAGAGAGAACCUGUCCUCUCUGAGCCUCAGUGGCUUUCUCUGUCACAAGGACAACAUUCCAAGACGGUUGGGUGUAUCAUCAGACCUCAGUAAGUGGCUGCCCUGUGCGUGGUGCUGUGGGGGAGUGCAGGAGGACCUGGCCUCCAGCUAUGCUUGCUGUGGCCAGAGGCUGCUCCUGUCCUUAGAAUCCCUUCCUGCACAGAACAGAGUCCUGUGGCCUAAAAAUCCUAGAAUAUUUCCUUCUCAGGGAAAAGUAAAACACCUUUAAGUUCUAUUCUUUAUAAUAAGGGAGAAUCUGAGCAAUGUAUAUGUCAACUGACGAAUGAUGAUCUUAUCACAUUAUCAUCAUAGAACUAACUCCUGAAGUCCUGUUAGAGGCUAGGCUUCUGGCUCCAGGAACCAAUAAAAUGCUCCACACACCAUGUCUGUGUGGGGAAAUCAGCACAGGCUGCAAGGAUUGUCUGCUCAUUCCAAAACAAAACAGUAUCAAUUGUGGGAACACAGGCUCUCUUUUCUCUCUUUUAAUAAUUUCGACCACAGACACAAUACAAGAGCUGAUGCAGCUUUGAUACCAAGGUUACAUUUCAGUGCCAUGAACUACGUCUAAUCACAGGCUACAAUGUAAUCUUACAGAAUGAAG
This 1034-nucleotide long non-coding RNA is filed under the name Marmota monax (woodchuck). Lineage: Eukaryota; Metazoa; Chordata; Mammalia; Rodentia; Sciuridae. The record is from RNAcentral.